GACGAACGCUGGCGGCGUGCUUAACACAUGCAAGUCGAGCGGAAAGACCAUGCGUUUGUGGCGUUCUCGAUUGGCGAAGGCGUGAGUAUCACGCGAGUAUCAUGCACCUAUCAUUGUGAUAACAUCACGGGACUCGGGCUAAUACACGGGAGGAGCUACUGCAGCACAUGGGGGGUUGGAGAGUUUCGGCUGUGGGGGAUGGUCUCGCGGGUUAUCAGCUGCUUUGUGUGGUAGUGGCUUACAAAGGCUUUGAAGGGUAGGCGACCUGGGAGCGUGACCGGCCACAUUAGGACUGAGAUACGGACCAGAAUCCUACGGGCGGCAGCAGUGGGGAAUCUUGCACAAUGGGGGGACGCCAGAUGCAGCAACGCCGCGUGCGGGAUGACGGCCUUCGGGUUGUAAACAGAUUUCGACUGUGACGAAGCGUGAGUGACGGUAAUGGGUAAAGAAGCACCGGCUAACUACGUG
RNAcentral lists this ribosomal RNA (468 nucleotides) under uncultured bacterium. Its description in RNAcentral is "partial 16S ribosomal RNA". It matches the Rfam family "Bacterial small subunit ribosomal RNA", at positions 28 to 507 of the family's 1533-position model. The record is from RNAcentral.